RNAcentral lists this long non-coding RNA (817 nucleotides) under Rattus norvegicus (Norway rat). Its description in RNAcentral is "long non-coding RNA NONRATT001973". Lineage: Eukaryota; Metazoa; Chordata; Mammalia; Rodentia; Muridae. The record is from RNAcentral.
CCAAGAUUUUGUUUUCGUGUCUUUUCCAAAAUAAUCUAGAAGACUGCUUGUACCACGAAAACAACAGUGGGAAGAUGGCGUAUUUCUGCCUCACGCCACGAUAUGCCAAAGGAAAACCAAUGAGUCAAACAACCCCCAAAACUAAUCAAUUUGAAGAAUAUGUACAGCUGUGACGAGUGACCCCUGUGUAUUGAAGUUGUUGCCAGGUCCCAGACUUAAGAUAACAGACAGCAAGGACCAUAGGUUGUGGGCCAGACUGAUCUUGACCUCACUGAGUUUAGACUGCCUCUGCCUCCCAAGUGCUGGGACUAAAGGCGUGCCCCACCACGCCCAGCGGUAUGCAACUUGUUCUAACCAUGACCUCUCUAUGGCUGUGAAGAGACACCAUGACCAAAACUAAAGAAGGAAACCGAAACAAAACUGGGGCUGAUAAUAAGGUUUAGAAGGAAAGACGGUGCUGAGCAGGGGACACAUGUGCCUGAGAGAUGGCAGGGCCUGCCAGAGAAAGGAAUCAUUAACCACCAUAAAGUUCAGAGAGGGAAGCUUGUGGUUUGGAGGAUGCCUGCUAGUCAUCCAAGAAACAGCUACACAUUCUCCAUCACCCUCGGGAAGAGUUAUUUCCUCUCUCGCGUUCCAAGCAUUUUGAUAGAGAUAAUGACCCAUACUCAUGGAAUUCUUAGGAGCUACUGGCUGAUCUAAGCCUUGGCAUGUGGAUUGGAUCAUUCAGCCUGCAUAAUAGCCCCUGGUUCUGGGGCUCUUGUGAUCUACCGAUUUUGAGUGAAGAACCUAACAUUCCACAUAAAAACUCACACAAGGU